Molecule: small nuclear RNA, 127 nt
Organism: Camellia sinensis
Lineage: Eukaryota; Viridiplantae; Streptophyta; Magnoliopsida; Ericales; Theaceae
Source: RefSeq, a predicted model, not a curated record
GUGUUCAUAGAAAGGAGAGACGGUUCAAAUCUCCACCAUCAGGGACAGGUACAGCCUUCAGGCUUACCUGUUACCAGACACAUCCGGUUAAGGUUACCCACUUCAGUAGAUCUUAACGCAAUUUUCU